Molecule: ribosomal RNA, 253 nt
Filed under: uncultured bacterium
Lineage: Bacteria
Description: partial 16S ribosomal RNA
Rfam family: Bacterial small subunit ribosomal RNA
Source: RNAcentral
UACGGAGGAGGCAAGCGUUAUCCGGAAUUAUUGGGCGUAAAGCGUCCGCAGGUGGCACUUCAAGUCUGUCGUCAAAGACCGGGGCUUAACUUCGGAAAGGCAGUGGAAACUGAACAGCUAGAGUAUGGUUGGGGCAGAGGGAAUUCCUGGUGUAGCGGUGAAAUGCGUAGAUAUCAGGAAGAACAUCGGUGGCGAAGGCGCUCUGCUGGACCAUAACUGACACUCAGGGACGAAAGCGUGGGGAGCAAACAGG